GACGAACGCUGGCGGCGUGCUUAACACAUGCAAGUCGAACGGAAAGGCCCUGCUUUUGUGGGGUGCUCGAGUGGCGAACGGGUGAGUAACACGUGAGUAACCUGCCCUUGACUUUGGGAUAACUUCAGGAAACUGGGGCUAAUACCGGAUAGGAGCUCCUGCUGCAUGGUGGGGGUUGGAAAGUUUCGGCGGUUGGGGAUGGACUCGCGGCUUAUCAGCUUGUUGGUGGGGUAGUGGCUUACCAAGGCUUUGAAGGGUAGCCGGCCUGAGCGGGUGACCGGCCACAUUGGGACUGAGAUACGGCCCAGACUCGUACGGGACGCAGCAGUGGGGAAUAUUGCACAGUAGGCGGAGGCCAGAUGUGGUAACGCCGCGUGCGGGAUGACGGCCUUCGGGUUGUAAACCGAUUUCGCAUGUGACGAAGAGAGAGUGACGGUAAUGGGUAAAGAAGCUCCGGCUAACUACGUG
RNAcentral lists this ribosomal RNA (468 nucleotides) under uncultured bacterium. RNAcentral describes it as "partial 16S ribosomal RNA". It matches the Rfam family "Bacterial small subunit ribosomal RNA", at positions 28 to 507 of the family's 1533-position model. The record is from RNAcentral.